Molecule: non-coding RNA, 428 nt
Organism: Arachis ipaensis
Lineage: Eukaryota; Viridiplantae; Streptophyta; Magnoliopsida; Fabales; Fabaceae
Source: RefSeq, a predicted model, not a curated record
UGGUUUUCUUUCAUAAUUUUACAAUGAGAGUUUCUGUUUCAUAACCUUCUACUAUUUCAGACCCCUUUUGUAGUAUAUUUUUUUAUUUUAAUUUUUUUCUGAGGCUUCUGGUGGUGGUGGCUUACAUGUUUAGUCACUGUUGUCUAUUUUUUUUACAGGCUUUUAAUAGUUGUGUUUUCGCUGCUGUUGCUGCUGCCACGUCUCUUGGUUUGCUUCUGCUCUGGUACUGCCGUUGCUGCUAGGGUACGGAUUUAGUUUCUGCGGUGCUAGUUGACUAGCUACUAUCUUUAUUUUAGUUUAAUUUUAAAAAUUCUGACAGCUUCUGUGGAGGCAACUACGCUAAUGUGAUCGUGGUUAUUUAUGUCCUAACCUCGUAUAACUUAUUAUAGUUGUUAUAACUUAUUUGUUUUGUAAUAGAACCUCUAUCA